UUAGGAAUCUUCCGCAAUGGGCGAAAGCCUGAUGGAGCGACGCCGCGUGAGGGAUGAAGGCCUUAGGGUUGUAAACCUCUAAAAGAGGGACGAUAAUGACGGUACCUCUUGAAUAGCACCGGCUAACUCCGUGCCAGCAGCCGCGGUAAUACGGAGGGUGCAAGCGUUAUCCGGAAUCACUGGGCGUAAAGGGCGCGUAGGCGGUCUGUUAAGUCCGAUGUUAAAUCCCGGGGCUCAACCCCGGAUAAGCGUUGGAUACUGGCAGGCUAGACGGUUGGAGAGGCGAGUGGAAUUACCAGUGUAGCGGUGGAAUGCGUAGAUACUGGUAGGAACACCCAUUGCGAAGGCAGCUCGCUGGACAACACGUGACGCUGAGGCGCGAAAGUGUGGGGAGCAAACC
RNAcentral lists this ribosomal RNA (400 nucleotides) under uncultured bacterium. RNAcentral describes it as "bacterial SSU rRNA". It matches the Rfam family "Bacterial small subunit ribosomal RNA", at positions 355 to 774 of the family's 1533-position model. The record is from RNAcentral.